AGGAGGGGCAGGGGCCGGGCAGCUGAGCCUGGGAGGGGCCGGCAGCCUCAAGAGGAGAGAAGGGCCCUAUCCACUGCCCUUGCUUUUGUGGAGAAAGGCCAUUCCCAACCAAGUGCUCUCUCACAGCCCUGCAAGUCUCUAAAAAGGAAACUAGGGACAUUCUGGAAGAUACUCAAAGAAACCUUUUAUCUUUCUCUUUGCUCUUCACUCACUCUUUUGUCCUCUCUCCUCUUCACGGACAGGGGAGGGACCAUCUGAUGAGACCGAGAAAAACAAAGGCCAAGGUGGAAACUCUAUUCCAGCUUCCUGACCUGUGACUGAGUGGGCUUGCCUGGGCUUCCAAAUCAUCUCUCUAGUCCCCCUGCUCCAUUAUUCACUCACCCUUGGGGUAAGUGCUUCCCAGCCCAUGCCACCCCCAACCAAACCCACACCUCCACACCUCGGAGUGAGUGUGCAGCCGCCCCAACUUCCCCCGCUGGAGCAGGCAGGUGGAUUUCAGGACACUAAGCAGCUCUCAGCACUCAGGAGACCACUUCAGCCUUUUGCUGAGAAAAGCAGGCUCUCAUGUUCCUUGGAAGAUUAGCUCUACAAGUUGUCCCUGACAAGAGUUUUAUGGUCAGGGUUUGAGUGGGCCCAGAAUACGCCGGAACCAAGAAGAGCUAUCUUUUACUCUUCUUCACAUAUUGGAGAAGGAUGAAACAGUAUUUCAUCUUGGCCCUGGGGAGGUUUGAAGCCUAGACACAAAGCGGAACAGAGGGAAAGAAAGACACCAGCUCCCAUGCAGAAGUCCCCUCCCUUGGGCCAACCACAUGAAACUGAGAGAUGGGUCUAGAUAAGUAGGACCCGGCUGGGUCCUUUUUCUGCAGAGUCCCCAGGUGAACAAUCAAAUAGAGCUAAAAAUUUUUCUGCCUUGGGCCGAAAUGGAGAAAAUGAAACCUUGAGGAGCUUGCUUUUAACCAUGGCAGUAGCUACACCCCUGUUUCCUCUGCAAGAACCUAAGUUUAUGAGGCUCACUUUAGAAGUUCUGACUUUGGAGUCAGGUAGAUAGGACAUAAUCCCAGCUCACCCUCUAACUAGCAGGGUAACCUUGGGCAGAGCGCAUGGCCCAUCAGAGUUUUAGUUUUAUCAUCUAUAAAAUGGGUUAUUGGGGCCAGGCCAGUGGUGCAGCGGUUAAAAUUUGCACGUUCCGCUUCAGCGGCCAGGGGUUCACCAGUUUGGAUCCCUGGUGCGGACAUGGCACCUCUUGGCAAGCCAUGCUGUGGUAGGCGUCCCACAUAUAAAGUAGAAGAAAAUGGGCACGGAUGUUAGCUCAGGGCCAAUCUUCCUCAGCAAAAAGAGGAGGAUUGGCAGCAGUUAGUUCAGGGCUAAUCUUCCUCAAAAAUAAAUAAAUAAAUAUAAAUAAAUAAAUAAAAUGGGUUAUUGCAGGAAACAACCUAA
This 1437-nucleotide long non-coding RNA is filed under the name Equus asinus (donkey). RNAcentral describes it as "lncRNA (ENSEASG00005028810.1)". The record is from RNAcentral. Lineage: Eukaryota; Metazoa; Chordata; Mammalia; Perissodactyla; Equidae.